UACGGAGGGUGCAAGCGUUAUCCGGAUUCACUGGGUUUAAAGGGUGCGUAGGCGGAUAGGUAAGUCCGUGGUGAAAUCCUGCAGCUUAACUGCAGAACUGCCGUGGAUACUAUCUAUCUUGAAUAUCGUGGAGGUUAGCGGAAUAUGUCGUGUAGCGGUGAAAUGCUUAGAUAUGACAUAGAACACCAAUUGCGAAGGCAGCUCACUACUCAAUCAUUGACUCUGAGGCACGAAAGCGUGGGGAUCAAACAGG
Molecule: ribosomal RNA, 253 nt
Filed under: uncultured bacterium
Lineage: Bacteria
Description: partial 16S ribosomal RNA
Rfam family: Bacterial small subunit ribosomal RNA
Source: RNAcentral